RNAcentral lists this long non-coding RNA (5352 nucleotides) under Capsicum annuum. Its description in RNAcentral is "long non-coding RNA (CANN_LNC002414)". Lineage: Eukaryota; Viridiplantae; Streptophyta; Magnoliopsida; Solanales; Solanaceae. The record is from RNAcentral.
AACUUGAUACGACAAUGACCAACCGAAUAUGGCUAACCAGUUAUUAUAAUAAUAGGCCGUCAGCCAAAUCCUGGAGGCACUUCGGGAUCUUCAUCAUUAACAUCAUCUGGAUUCUUCUCUUUCGUGCCUAUAGCAAAGCCAGGUGGUGCACCCGCAUCCAUUUUGUCGGGCACUAAGUCAAGUGAGCUAUCGGUGUCCGACUUGGUAUAUGUUUCUCUUGUUUUUCCAUCAGUGGGAACAGGAAGUCCCGACUCCUCUUUGGACGAUUCAUUUUGUUCACUUUUGCUGUUCUGAUUUGAACUUAAUCGGGCAAAACCAGGAGGUUUUUUUGGCUCCGCAUCAGCAGAAACUGUGGCAUCAAUGCCACUGCCUGAAACAGCAAUAUGUCCAUUACUUUCAACUCCAUUCCGAGCCGGCUGCAAGUCUGAAUGAGAGGCUGAUUCACCAGCUUCAUUUAGCUGUGGGUUCAAUAACUUAUUGUAAACUGAUUGAAUUGUUUGGGUUAUCUCUGUCUGAAUGCCAUCAACCGUUCUGAUUGUAUUCCACAAUUCAUCGGAAAUUUUACCCAUGACUUUGUCCCUAUAGUUCAUGACUAAAACAAGUUAAACUUGCGGAACUCUAUAUACGGUACCAGAUUAACGUUUAAUACCACUAGUUGAAACACACCGUCAUAAUUCACUGUUCAAAUAAAAGAGAAAAACAACUACAAGCCAUCGAGCUUUCAUUGAUUCAUCACUUAAACCCUUUAAAAUUCUCCUCACUUGACCCCCGCCAUCCUCCUAACCAACCGCUCGAGUACCAACAAUUUUGCUACACUCAUCCAAAGACCUUUUCACUUCUUGAAAUAACCCACAGACAAUCAUAUUUUGAAUAUCAUGAAAAUGGAAAAGGAUUAAAAACGACCUUUGGGGAACAAAAACGGGUCAUAAAAUAGACACAAGAUGAUAAAAAUAACAUAUUCUGAAGUGGGUGAAUGUGCAACAGGAAAUAUUUGUCAUUGCUUAGCUUUUCUCAUAUUUGUUUCUCUUCACGCUUCCCGGAAAAAUUAACGGUAUUUCCACAUCCCACAAUAUAGACAAUAUUUUUGAUAGGUGUCCAAUAAAACAAAAGCGCAUGUAUCUAGUUCAAGCAUUCAAGCAUGUAUUAUCGUAUUUGCUAUCUAAACACAAGUUUGGAGGCAAAGGUUGUUCUAAAGGUAAUAGAAUCAAAAGGAUCUAAGCUAGUGAAAGAAAAAGACGAUACAAAAACAACCUAGUUGACGAUCCCCAUUAAACGAACAGGGAGAUGGGGGUUGAGAGCUAAGGAAGGAAUUCACAGAGUUGUUUAUUAGUUGCUCGGACUCUUCAAAAAUGUAUCUAGUUCAAGCAUUCAAGCAUGUAUUAUCGUAUUUGCUAUCUAAACACAAGUUUGGAGGCCAAGGUUGUUCUAACAGUAAUAGAAUCAAAAGGAUCUAAGCUAGUGAAAGAAAAAGACGAUACAAAAACAACCUAGUUGACGAUCCCCGUUAAAAGAAUGGGGAGAUGGGGGUUGAGAGCUAAGGAAGGAAUUCACAGAGUUGUUUAUUAGUUGCUCGGACUCUUCAAAAAUGUCUUCGGGUGCGUGUCAGAUCCUCCAAAUAUAGUAUAUUUUUGAAGGAUCCGACACGGGUGCGGCAACAUUUUUGGAGAGUCCGAGGAACUUAUGCAGGUGCUUCCGGUGUCGUGAAGAGAAAAAAUCGAAAAGAAUGGGAGAAGGUUGAAUACAUGACUUACCCAACUUCUUGAAAUAUAGCAUCUGACAGUUGCCUCGGUCUCAUAUUUUCUGCACCUGGACGGUUAAGCGCAGCUGAUUCCUUCACUGUGGCUAUUAUAUUUUUUCGCAACUCUUCCUGGAAAACAAACACAAUUGUCACACAACUGGAGCAUAUAUAAACUUAAAAGCAUAAUGCGUCGUGCUUUUCCUUUUGUUUAUCUGAAGACAAAGUAAAAAUAUAACAACAACAACAACAUACCCAGUGUAUUCCCACAUAGUGGGGUCUGAGGAUGGGGAGGGUAGAGUGUACGCAGACCAUACCACUACCACGGGUGAAGUAAAUAGAUUGUUUCCAAUAGACCCCCGGCUUAGGAUCGAUAACAGUAUAGCAAUCACAAAACAUAAAUGCGUAUAGACUAGUACAGAAUGCAAAAUAAACUAACACCGCUAUCCUCAAAAUAAUACUACAGCCACAAGAUAAUACUAAAAAACUCUCUAUCCGAAAUCAUAGACAUCACUCAACACCACGAACAAGAAACUUCAAACACAAACAAAGAACGCUCCCCUACUGUAACCGACACACUCCCACCCCCUAACCCUCUAACCUAAUCCGCGUCCUCCACAUUUUUCUAUCAAGGGUCAUGUCCUCCGUAAACUGUAACUGCUCCAUAUCAUGCUUAAUCACCUCCCUCCAAUAUUUCUUCGGCCUAACUCUCCCCCGCCCAAAACCAUCCAUUGCCAGUGAUAAACAAUAUCACUAAUGACGGACAAAUCCAUCUACAUAGUGAUGCAACAAGAAGGUUCAUUCCCUAGGGCCAGUGGUGCAUGGUUCAAACACGGUGGAUAGUGAAACUGCCCCUCUACCCUUCACUUAAAUACAAGGCUUUUGUCUGCAGCAGAUUCAAACCUGUAACAGCGGCUAACUCAACAUAAAAUUGUCAUUUAACAUCAAAGUUACAGUAAUUUCAUUUUUUUAUCAGCGAAGGUUUUCACUGAUAAUUAACAAGGCCAAGUUGACCGUAAGAGAUACUGCAUGUAAUGACGUUACAGUAGCUUCAUAUACUAAAAGAGAACAUUAUAUAAAUACUUGAUUUGAAAAUCUGAUUGAAAACUUUCAUCAUCUGCCUUAACGCGUUAGAGUUAUCCUCCUUUCAAGGCACAGCUUGGUGAAGUUGACGAACACUACACAAUUUUAAACAAUCUCAUGCAUCAACAAGAAAAACAAACAUAUAAGAACAACUAUGUUACCUCACCUCAAAACAAAAGAAGUUUAUAGAUAGUUCUCUUUUCUAAUAAUUAAAUAAAUUAACUGUCUUCUCAAACUCUUCUAGUAAGUAAAUAAUCACUAAACUUUAAAACUAAAAAUAGAUCAUUUACAACACUAUAACAAAGUUAAACGUGCAUCACUUUGAUCUUAUUGUAUACAGAGAUAAACCGAAGGACGACAAAUAUGUUUUUAACUUUAUCAUGAAGAUACGUCCUUUCUUCUCAAGUUUUCUAUGAGAAAAUAAGUAGUUAAAUCAGGAGGGAAAAUUUCCUAAAUGAAUUUAUUAUAAUCAGGGUGACGAUUUUUUGUUGAUGAAGCUAGGGCAAGAAAGGUAUCUAAUGCUUCAGAAACCGGUAGAGUAACUUCCUCUGCCCGUUUGCCCACCCCAAAUCCUCGUGCCUCUAUACUAGGAAGCAUGAACAUCAAAUUGCAUGCUGCCUACACUUUUAACAAUCAACUUUACACAGCACUGAUUCAUAAACUUUACACAAUCAACUUUACACAGCACUGAUUCAUAAACUUUACACAAUCAACUUUACACAGCACUGAUUCAUAAACUUUACACAAUCAACUUUACACAGCACUGAUUCAUAUACGACAAUCAUACAUAUGAUCUCUACUAAUAUCUUUAAUAUUUGGACUAUUGGAACCACAUGUUUGGGGGGUCUAUCAGAAACAGCUUCUCUACUUCAUCUGAGGUAGUGGUAUGAGGUAGUGGUAUGGACUGCAUACAUUUUACCCUCCCCAGACCCCACUUUGUGGGAAUAUACUGAGUAUGUUGUUGUUGUUGUAUUUUUUUUGUGAGAAAGGUAACUUGAUUAUAAACAAAGGACAAACUCCAUGAGUAGUCAUGGACCAUGGUGUUUGAAUGGGCAACUAUUUUAAGGACGGAAAAAGAAUUUAAAGAGAAAAGGAAGUGCUAUUUCUCCUACUUAUGAUUCAACAUUUAGCUCGGUCUAUUCUAGAUGUCUUUUUAACAUCAGUGGCAUCAGCUGAAGCUUGCACCGAAUUGCUUACCUGUGGAACUCAUUUACCCCGACCCUGCACAUGCACCAAUGCACCUUACCCUUUCACCUCUAAGAGAAACUUACUGGGAUCGAAAAUACGCAGACAUUUGUGUGUGUAAAAAGGACAGCCCGGUGCACUAAAGCUCCUGCUAUGCGCAGGGUCCAGGGAAGGGCCCCACUACAAGGGUGUAGUGUACGCAGUCUUACCUUGGGCUUGAACCAGUGACCGGGCAGCAACUUUACCAGUUAAUCCAAGGCUCUCCUUCAAGACAUUUGUGUGUGUGGCUAUAAAUAAUCUCAUUUAAGGUAAAAUGGAAACCGUUAAAGUUAAAUUGUUUCAAAAUAAGGAAGUACAACAUUCGUUUCUUAACCGACUAAAAAGGAAAGGAUGACAUAAAUUAAGACAAAAGGAGUAGUUUUCUUCACUACAAUAAUUCUCCAUAAGAGCCAAGGUCCUUGUAACCUAAGUAGCUCGGACUCUCAAAAAAUUUGGGGCUGCAACCAUGUCGGAUCCUUCAAAAAGGAACUACUUUUGAAGGAUCCGACAAGUACCCAAUGACAUUUUUCACGAGCCCGAGCAACAUAGCUUGUAACCAAGAGAAAAAAUAAAUUGCUCAGAAAAUCAUGUAAAGGCAUUUACAAUGAAUACCUUCUAGCCAAAUGGUAUGAGCAACUAACUUUCCUUUGUCCAAUCCACAGCAUCAACUCCUAGAAAUUUUGGAAAAACAAACCUAGCUAAAAGAAAAAACAUUUAAAAGACGAAGCACAAGGGCGAAAACGUAAUUGGACUUGAACACGUUAGGGAGUAAUGUCACGGUCAACGUCUAAAAAACCAAAAAAAAUCACUUAUAUUGUACUAGAUCAUACAACAAGAAAACUAGUCACGUAUGGCGUCCAUAUCUAAAGGCUAUGAAUUUUGAUAGUACUAAUCUGAAAUCCAAGAUCAUGCAUAAGCGACAUAGUUAAGGUUUCUAACCUCGGGAAAUUGAAGAAAGAAAGGCCACGAGCUGCUAGUCGACGGUCAAAGUAAAGUAUUCUCUGCAAGUGUCAACAUGAUCUUCUUGAACUUGAUACGACAAUGACCAACCGAAUAUGGCUAACCAGUUAUUAUAAUAAUAGGCCGUCAGCCAAAUCCUGGAGGCACUUCGGGAUCUUCAUCAUUAACAUCAUCUGGAUUCUUCUCUUUCGUGCCUAUAGCAAAGCCAGGUGGUGCACCCGCAUCCAUUUUGUCGGGCACUAAGUCAAGUGAGCUAUCGGUGUCCGACUUGGUAUAUGUUUCUCUUGUUUUUCCAUCAGUGGGAACAGGAAGUCCCGACUCCUCUUUGGACGAUUCAUUUUGUUCACUUU